This 464-nucleotide ribosomal RNA is filed under the name Actinomyces sp. oral taxon 448. RNAcentral describes it as "bacterial SSU rRNA". It matches the Rfam family "Bacterial small subunit ribosomal RNA", at positions 28 to 470 of the family's 1533-position model. Lineage: Bacteria; Bacillati; Actinomycetota; Actinomycetes; Actinomycetales; Actinomycetaceae. The record is from RNAcentral.
GACGAACGCUGGCGGCGUGCUUAACACAUGCAAGUCGAACGGGCCUGCCUGGCUUUGGUUGGGUGGGUGAGUGGCGAACGGGUGAGUAACACGUGAGUAACCUGCCCUCUUCUCUUGGAUAACUGCUUGAAAGGGCGGCUAAUACGGGAUGUUCUGGCUGCCUCGCAUGGGGUGGUUUGGAAAGAUUCGGCCUGGUUUUGGUUGUUUUGGUGGGGGAUGGGCUCGCGGCUUAUCAGCUUGUUGGUGGGGUGAUGGCCUACCAAGGCGGUGACGGGUAGCCGGCCUGAGAGGGUGGACGGUCACACUGGGACUGAGACACGGCCCAGACUCCUGCGGGAGGCAGCAGUGGGGGAUUUUGCACAAUGGGCGCAAGCCUGAUGCAGCGACGCCGCGUGAGGGAUGGAGGCCUUCGGGUUGUGAACCUCUGUCGCCGGAGAUGUAGGCUCUGCUUUUUGGGUGGGGUA